Molecule: ribosomal RNA, 406 nt
Filed under: uncultured bacterium
Lineage: Bacteria
Description: partial 16S ribosomal RNA
Rfam family: Bacterial small subunit ribosomal RNA
Source: RNAcentral
AUUGAACGCUGGCGGCAGGCCUAACACAUGCAAGUCGCACGAGUGGCGGACGGGUGAGUAAUGUCUGGGAAACUGCCUGAUGGAGGGGGAUAACUACUGGAAACGGUAGCUAAUACCGCAUACCAUCAGAUGUGCCCAGAUGGGAUUAGCUAGUUGGUGGGGUAACGUCUCACCAAGGCGACGAUCCCUAGCUGGUCUGAGAGGAUGACCACACACACUGGAACGGAGACAGGGUACAGACUCCUACGGGAGGCAGAAGUGGGGAAUAUUGCACACUGGGCGAAAGCCUGAUGCAGCCAUGACGCGUGUAUGAAGAAGGCCUUCGGGUUGUAAAGUACUCUCAGCGGGGAGGCGUUACCCGCAGAAGAAGCACCGGCUAACUCCGUGUCAGCAGCCGCGGUAAUUC